This 13364-nucleotide long non-coding RNA is filed under the name Eutrema salsugineum. Its description in RNAcentral is "long non-coding RNA (ESAL_LNC001473)". The record is from RNAcentral. Lineage: Eukaryota; Viridiplantae; Streptophyta; Magnoliopsida; Brassicales; Brassicaceae.
CCAAAGCUGUGUACAAGCCCACUUCUGCAAAAGAGAAAAAAUCAGCAUUAAGGAGGAAUUGGUGAUCGUUUGUCCAAGCUAUUAUAAAAGGAAAGACUUUAAACAGAACCCUAAUACGAGAGAGAGAAAAAGAGACGUAGUACAAGCAAGAGAAAUAGAAGGAGAGAGAAGAGAAAAAGGGAAUCCAAGAGAGCAACGAAGGAAGUUCGAGUCUUCUUUGUCGUGUGCUGUGAUUCAAAGUUACUUCUCUUCUAUUGUUCUAAUCUGUGACUUGUACUUGAACACAAAGAGAGCGCCGGUUAGUGCGUUUGUGUAUUCUUGAUUGAUAGUGGAGGUUGUGGGAGACGGUUCCCACCCCAGACGUAGCAGUUUAAGGCCGUGAACUGGGUGAUCAAACGUGUGUGUCAUUUAAGUUUCUAAUUCAUCUAAUAGAUCUAAGAUCUAAGCACUCAGGAGAAGUUAAAAACCCUUACAAGUGGUAUCAGAGCAAUCCAGGUUUGAGUGCUAGAAAGAUUUGGAUUAGAGACUCAGUGAUGACGACACAAAAGAUGGAGGUGAGCAUGUUUGACGGAUCAGGUGAUUUUGUGAUCUGGAAGAAAAGGAUGCUCGCAUACUUAACCGUUCAAGGUUUGAAAGAUGUUCUUUCGGAACCGACAUCCAAAGAAGUGGAUGUAAAAGAACCAGAAGCAAUGAAGGAAAAGAGCAAAAAUGAUGCUUCAAGGCUGGAGCGAGAUGAAAAGGCUUUGAAUCUUAUCUUCAUGUGCGUUGGAGAUCAUGUCUUAAGGAAACUAGACAAGUGUGAAACCGCAGCUCAAGCGUGGGCUACUCUUGAGAGGCUUUACAUGGCAAAGACUUUGCCUAAUCGGGUCCAUGCUCAGCUUAAAGUGUAUUCUUUUAGAAUGCAGGAUUCAAGAUCAAUUGAUCAGAAUGUAGAUGACUUCUUGAAGCUGAUUGCAGAUUUGAGCAACCUCAACAUUGAGAUACCAGAAGAGGUUCAAGCAAUACUGCUACUCAACUCUCUUCCCUCUAGGUAUGAUUCUUUAAAGGAUACUUUUAAGUAUAGUAGGGAAGCUAUUCAGUUGGAGGAAGUAGCUAGUGCUGCAAAAUCUAAGGAGAGAGAACUGUCUGAAAAUGAAAGGCUUUCAAGAUCAGAUGGAGAAGGGUUAUAUGUUGAGGCUAGAGCCAGAUCAGAAAAGAGAUCAGAGAAUGGAAGAGGAAGGUCUAAGAGUAGAGGAAAGAAAAACAACAAAGGUUGUUUUAUCUGUGGAGAUGAAGGACAUUGGAAGCGGGAAUGUCCUCAUAGAAAGAAACCUGCAGAUUCUGCAAAUGUUGCAACAGAUUCAAAGGAACCAAUGGUGUUAAGUGUCAGCACUCAAGAUAGAAAGAAAGAAUGGAUUAUGGAUUCAGGCUGUUCAUACCAUAGUACACCAGACAAAGAAGUCUUGUUUGAUUUCAAGGAGUUUGAUGGUGGUAGAGUUUUGAUGGCUAAUAACACUCAUUGUAACAUCAAAGGAAUGGGGAAGAUUCGGAUUUAGAAUCCAGAUGGUUCUGUAGUGAUACUCAAGGAUGUGAAAUAUAUACCAGAGGUGAGUAGGAAUCUUAUUUCUUAUGGAAUGUUAGAGAAAUCUGGUUGCAGGUAUGAAAGAGGUAACUUCAAGGUUCAGUUCUACAAAGGAAAGAAGAAGGUAAUAUCUGGAAAAUACCAAGGUGGUUUGUAUUAUCUUCAAGGCACAGUUUCUAAAGUUGACGUGAACAUGCCAAAAGCUGAGGUAGAAGUGAAAAAGAAGAAGGUAAAGAAGGUGACAUUCAGUGAGAAUCUGAUUCAAGGAGCAACUCCUUAUGGUUUUGAGACAAGGGAUUCAUCAGCUCAAGGUGGAGACUCUUCUUCAUCAGAAAAAUCUGAGAGUUACGAAGUAAUUGAGUCUAAGGAGAGCAAGGAAGAAUCUGAGAUAGAAUCAACACUCGAUGAUAUUUUUGAAAGUAAGAAGCGGAUGCAUCAGAAAAGUGUUGGAGAAGAAGAGAGUUUGAACAAAGAACUUGAGGUGAAAAAUUUGGGAAAAGUUUCUAAGAUAUUGGGAAUGGGUUUCUUUGGAGAUAAGAGCUAAAGGGGAUGUAGUUUUAUCUACGGUUCACAAGGGUAAAAGUUCAAUAAAUUUUGUAACUGAAACAGUACCUGGACAAAAAGCUCAGGUUUGCUGCGAUCUUCUCAACCUAGUUUGAAGUGUGGUGCAGCUUCAGGUAACUCCAUUAUCGACAUGCUACUCUCGCAGGAAGAAGAACAUAAAAACGGGUUGGUGAUAAGAUCUUUGAUGUAAUUUCUGUAUAUUGAAUCGUAGAAGAGAGAGAUACAAAGCUUCACCGUAUCGUAUUUACAAACUCAUGACGUAUGUAAAACGCAUACAGGAAUAGUAAGCUCAAACGCUACUUCCACAAUAACAAAAACUGAAUACGUAUUUCUCAACAAUUCUAGUAUUUAUACUAAUUGUCUUCCAACUGCUUCUCUCACGCGUUUUCUUCACACGCUUAACCGUCUUCACUCCCGAGCUAAUACCCAGCUAGACUCAUGCAAUGGAAGAUUUGUCCAAGAUAGCAACACUUCCAAACACCCUUCUUCAUUAUGACGCAUGUCUAAUAAUUCGCUGGGUGCUACUACGAUUUCAUCAACAUCAGAUAAAACCGCUGGCAAUGGUAGAACGUCGUGAUUUGAACCCAAGGCUUCUUUCAAAUGUGAAACAUGGAAAACCGGAUGAAUCCUUGAAUCGGAUGGUAACUUCAAGCGAUAAGCGACCUUCCCAAUUCUCUCUAACACCUCAAAGGGUCCAUAAAAACGGGCAGCAAGCUUUUGACAAAUUCGACGAGCCACUGACUUUUGUCUAUACGGUCGGAGUUUAAGAAACACCAUACUUCCCACUUCAAAAUUCACCUCUCGUCGAUGUUUAUCAGCUUGACUCCGCAUCAACUCUUGAGCUCUCAACAGAUGAAGCCGAAUAUGUUCCAACAUCGAAUCUCUUUCUUUCAGCAUUUCCCCUAGCUCAAAAUUAGCUGUUGAACCUUCUUCAAACCUCACAAGAGUUGGUGGUUCUCUCCCAUAAACCACUGAGAAUGGAGUAUUUUUCAGGGCUGUGUGAUAGUUUGUAUUAUACCACAAUUCUGCCCAUGAAAAAAUUUUUGCCCAUUUCCUUUGAUGAGCUGAUGCUAGACAACGGAGAUAAGUCUCUAAACAUCGGUUUAAAAUCUCUGUUUGUCCGUCAGUUUGAGGAUGGAACGCUGUACUAUACUUCAACUUUGUUCUAGCUUGGUUAAAACAUUUUUUCCAGAAAUGACUGAGAAAAAUCCGAUCUCUGUCAGAGACAAUGGUCUUGGAAAACCCAUGUAAGCGAACAAUUUUUUUAAUGAACUUGUUCACCACCUGAGUUACAGUGAAAGGAUGCUUUAAUCCAAUAAAAUGGCCAAAUUUGCUCAAGCGAUCCACCACAACUAAUAUAGCAUUGAAUCCCAUUGAACUUGGAAGACCUUCGAUGAAGUCUAAACUGAUAUCUUCCCAAAUAGCCUGUGGAAUUGGUAAAGGCUGGAGAAGACCUGCUGGACUGAGGGUAGAAUAUUUAUGAGUCUGACAGAUUUUACACUCAGAGACAAAUUUUUGUAUGGUUUCACGCAUCCCACUCCAGUGAAAAGACUGUUGAACUCUCUUUAGUGUUUUUAGUAUACCCGAAUGUCCUCCUACCACACCUUCAUGUAACUCUGCGAGAAUCAAGGGAAUAUAUGCAGAUGUUGCUGGUAAUACCAAUCUCCUUUUAUACCACAGUUUACCAUCUUUGACGACAUAACCCGGUUUGACUGUUUCAGCAUUAUUUACUCGGUUGAUCAGUAUUUGAAUCUCCGGGUCCUCCUCAAUUUCCUUGAAUAUGUCCUGUAAUUGGACCACAGAAGGUACUGUCAUGGCCAAUAAGGAUGUGGUAACGUUUUCCAAAGGUGCUUGUAAACUCCGAGAUAGUCCAUCCGCCGCCUUGUUUUCGAUGCCCGGCUUGUAUACUAUCUCGAAAUCAUAACCCAACAGUCGAGUAAGCCACUUUUGAUGUUCCAUCGUCACUUCUCUUUGUUCCAAAAGAAACUUAAGGCUUUUCUGAUCGGUAUGAACCACGAACUUCCGGCCUAUUAGAUAAUGUUUUCAUUUCUGAAUAGAUAGAACAAUUGCCAUUAGCUCCUGUUCAUACACUGAUUUCAACUGUUCGCGAGCAGUCAACCCACAACUGAAAAACGCUAUUGGUCUCUAUCUUUGCAUUAGUAAUGCUCCUAACCCAAAACCAGAUGCAUCAGUCUCCACCACGAAAGUGGCAAAGUCAAAACUGGUGCAGACGUCAUCGCUUUCUUUAAUGUAUCAAAAGCAAGUUGAGUCUCACACGACCAUUGAAACUUGUCCUUUUUUAAUAGCUAUGUUAAAGGUCGAGCCAACGUGCUGUAUCCUUUCACAAAACUCCUAUAAUACCCUAUGAGUCCUAGAAAUCCGCAUAAUUCCUUCACUGUUUUGGGAGUAGGCCAUUUUGUCAUUGCUUCAGUCUUUUUUGGAUCAGUUGCCACGCCUUCCUUUGAGAUUAUAUGGCCCAAAUAGUCCACUUCGUUUCUAGCAAAUAAGCACUUCUUCUUGUUUGCAUAUAGUUGUUGUUCAGCAAAAAUUUUCAGGUACAACCCUCAGAUGAGCUUCGUGAUCCUCCACACUUCGGCUAUAUACCAAUAUAUCAUCGAAGAACACUAGAACAAAUUUCCGAAGGAAUGCUCUGAACAAAUCAUUCAUUAAAGAUUGAAAUGUUGCAGGCGCAUUUGUGAGGCCAAAUGGCAUCACUAAGAAUUCAUAGUGGCCAUCGUGUGUUCUAAAAGCUGUCUUUUCGAUGUCACUCUCCUUCAUUCGUAUUUGUUGGUAGCCUGAUCUCAGAUCCAAUUUCGAAAAUAUUACAGCUCCAUGAAGUUCAUCUAGUAGCUCGUCAAUCAUUGGUAUGGGAAACUUGUCAGGAAUUGUUGCUCGAUUCUAAGCCAUGUAGUCUACACAAAACCUCCAACUUGUGUCUUUCUUCUUGACUAAAAGAACUUGGCUUGAAAAAGGACUAACACUUUUCCUGAUCGUUCCUGCAUCCAACACAUUUCUGCUACCAUUUUUUCCAUAACCUCUUUAUGCAUCUGGGGAUAGCGGUAUGGUCUCACAUUCACCGGACCUUGUCCAGGCUGCAAUGUAAUACCAUGUUCGCGGUCUCGACUUCGAGGUAAUCCCGAUGGAAGAUCAAAUACUUCCUCAAACUCUUGUAAUAAGGUUACAAUCAGCUCGGGAAUCUUUUCUGUGGACUCUUCUUUUGGGAUGUUCUUUUCAAACUCCAGACAGACGCCUUUUGAUGUUAUCACUGGAUUCGGUGCAAGUGUCUUCAGAGAUAACCUUUUUGUGUGCAAACUUGUGUCACCAUACAAGGUAAUCCACUGUCCUUGGUAUUUAAAAGAGAAUUCUUGUCGUUUCCAAUCCACCUGACAUUUACCAAGGGUUUCUAGCCACUGCACUCCCAAUAUCAUAUCCACAUUUCCUAACUCCAAUGCUAUGAAAUCUGUCGUGAAUCUGAAUCCUGACAACAAGAAAGAUAUGUCUUUACAUGCUCCAUUUCCUUUGAUCUGUAAUCCAUUACCCAGUAACACUUCUAACUCCUUUUCUGUUGAUAACUGUAACAGAGUUUUCUGCACCGUUGCUGACGAUAUAAAAUUGUGGGAAGCCCCACUAUCGAGCAUGACCACCACCUGUGUCUUCCCGAUAGUCCCGUGAAUCUUUGUGGUCUUUGGUGUAUCAAUUGUCAGAAAUGCGUUCAAUGAUAGAUGUCUCAACUCACCCAUCUGUUCAGUUUCUUCUUCAAUGAAUUCAAACAUGUUCUCAUCCAAGACUUCCACUUCAAAUCCAUUGAGUACUGUCAACACUCGUAGCUCUUGUUUCGGACAAACUUUAUCGUGGCCUCUGAACCACUUGGCAUCACACUUGAAACAUAAUCCCUGACUUCGUUUCACAUCGAGUUCUGCGUCAGUGAAUUUUUGGCGAGGUCUUAUAUUGGUUCGUCCUUGCGUUUGAUUUUCUUUUGAAUCCGUAGACUCAAUAGUCAGCACUUUCGGUUUGAAUGGUGUUGUAUACUGAGUCCGUUGAUUGUUGUAAAAGCUAUUGAUACGAGUAUUGUUCUUUGAUCCAUACUCUCUCCGAGAACCAUCACCAACUAACUUGCAAAAAGCACUACUCUCCAUUGCAAUAUGAUUAGCUAGCCCUUUCGGUUCCUUCAUCUUGAUAACUUCUUUCAUUUCCAGUGUUAAACCAUUGUAAAAGAUGUCUUCCAAGCCUUUAUCAUCUACUCCUGUGACUUGUGACGACAGAUCCUCAAACUCGGAUACAUAGUCUCCAAUGGAUCCCGUUUGUUUGAUCGAGUACAAACGCUUUCCCGGUUCUUCCUCUAGUGAUUCAACAAAUCGUACCAACAACUUCGCUUUAAAGUCCCUCCAAUCUCGGAAACCAUGGCGUUUCUUUACCCAAACAAACCAUUUCUUGACUUUACCAGCUAGUGAGAGAGCAACUAAAUCGAGCUUCGCUUCAUCAUCGUAACGGCCAAUAUCGAAGAAAUUCUCGACUUCCGCAAUCCACACAUAUGGAGCACAACCAUCGAAUAUUGGCAUCUCGAUUUUCUUAAUCAUGCUCUCUCUAUUUGCUAAAUCUGUAUGACCUGACCGAUAACCUAAUGGUAUUUCACUCCGAUUCGUUCCAGUGAAUGAAUUUGGUUCCUGAUUGUGAUUUUGUGAGGAAUUAGGGAUUUCGAUCGGUCGGACACCUCCGUCGGCUCGCGGUGGUAGCUUUGAUUGUUGUUGAAUCGCCAUUAGUAUCGAAUUGAGUUUCUUGUUCAUCUCUGCCAUGCGAUUUUCUGUUUGAGUCUUCGAUUCGCAAAGCCGAGUGAAACCUCCUUGUAAGAACUCUAAUUCAUCGCGCAUCGCCGAUAAUCCUCCAUCUCCUUCGUCGCUGAAUACUUCCGACGGCAUAUCUCCUUUCUGAGCUGAUUCGAUCUCGUCACGACGCACCAUUUGAUAAAAUCUUUAAUGUAAUUUCUGUAUACUGAAUUGUAGAAGAGAGAGAUACAAAGCUUCACCGUAUCGUAUUUACAAACUCAUGACGUAUGUAAAACGCAUACAGGAAUAGUAAGCUCAUACGCUACUUCCACAAUAACAAAAACUGAAUACGUAUUUCUCAACAAUUCUAGUAUUUAUACUAACUGUCUUCCAACUGCUUCUCUCACGCGUUUUCUUCACACGCUUAACCGUCUUCACUCCUCUGUUCUCUUCCUUCCUUCUGUUCAUUUCCUUCUUUUAUACACAUUAAGAGGUCUAUCAGUUGGUUUUGGAAAUGUUUUUAUGUCGAUAAAGUAAAAUCAUAUUUGAUUAAUGGGUUAAAGGAGUUACCUGGAGGCGGCUAAAAUUACGGUGAGGACACUUUGAUUCCAGGUGGAGCUGUUAGGAGAUUCAAGGGAAGACAAGUUAGCUCUGUUUUCAUGAAUCUGGGAAGCAAGUCGAGAGUACAAGGUUCAGGUUAAGGGAUUUACCUGAGGUCAUCUAAGUAGCUGAAGAACAUUGGUUGUUCACUGGGAGAAGCUGCAAAGAAGAUGAAAUUGAGACUAGGGUUAGUUUCAGGUGGAGUAGCUGCAAACGAUUCAAGAAGAGAUUGAUUUAAAGCUCAGUGCACAUGAGAUGAAUCAACAGGUCGAUAAAGAUGAAUCAAGUUUUGUGGAGAAGCUACGAAGUAUAAAAUCAAGUUCGGAUUUCACAGUGUCUCGGAAAUAUCAGUUGAUACAGAGACAGAGCAAGGAGGAGAUGAUGCAGGUUCGGAGGGUUACCUGAUGUCAUCCCAAAAAGCGGAGAAGAUGAAGCAGUUCGUCGGAGAAGCUGAUAAAGAGGAAAAGUCAAAAAAAAUUUUAGAAUUUUGGUGGACUGGAAAUCUGAUGCAGCACAUCGUUGAUUAAUGGGCUUUUAUGACAAACACGUCGCGGGCUUUAAACGUGUUUGUUCAACUAUUAUCUUCAUCUUUUAUUUCUAGUUUGUUUUCUUUUAGGAUCAGAUAAACACAAAUCUUUUAGGAUUAGGAUCUUUCGUAAUCUCUUUAGCUUAUUAUUUAAGGUCGUCGAAUAGCCUUGUGAUCGACACCUUUUUUUGACAUUUAAAGCAUUUAUUCAAGAGCUUGUUUAAGCACUAAGAGGAGUACUCUUAAUCCUUUGUCGUAGUCGAGCUUUCGACUGAGACAAAAUCGAGAUCGUUUCAAGCAAUUCUUCGAGUUCUUGUUGUGAUUUCGUUUACGUAGCUUCCGCCUCUCUAUCAGUUGGUAUCAGAAUCGGUACGUUCCUGAAGGUUGUUGACGUUGAGACAAUGCCUCCGAAGAAGAACAUCAACAACACCGGUCACAACACUAAUUCGACAAGUGAUUGGACCGAGCUUCGUGCUACUCUCCUGGCGAUGCAGGAGAACAUUCAGGCGACGAUUCACGCGUCUAUUCAGGAUAUGGGCGAGACACUAUUGACGCGUUUGGACGCUCGUAUGCCAGGUCGUGCACAGGGUGAGGAGCGUAUGAACAACCCCUUUGCAAAUCGCGAUGAUAAUGAUGACGUGGAGGACGAUGAGUAUCCCAGGCGAGUUCGUCGUGAUAAUUACCAUGGUGAAGGCGGCGACAACAGGUGGGAGUCCGGUUUUCAUGUUGAUAUUCCGGAAUUCCUAGGAGGAAUUCGAGGUGAUGAACUCCUUGACUGGAUCGUUUCGGUGGAGGAGAUACUCGACUUCAAACGAGUUCCCGAGGACAGACGUGUUCCUCUUGUGGCGAUGAGAUUUCGAGGUCAUGCCGCGUCUUGGUGGAAGCAAGUGAAGUCGACAAGAACAUGCACAGGGAAAGAGCUGAUACAGUCCUGGGAGAAAUUAAAAAAACACUUGCGCAAGGCCUUUCUUCCGCACAAUUAUGACCGCCAGAUGUAUACACGCUUACAGAAUCUGCGGCAAGGGAGUCGUAGCGUGGAGGAUUACGCGGAGGAAUUCUCCGUCUUGCUCACUCGCAACGAGCUUCGUGAUUCAAAGCCUCAGCUGGUAUCUCGUUUCAUUGGAGGUUUGCGCCCCCAGCUUCAAACGGCGAUGGCACAGUUCGAUCCUACGACGAUCAGUGAAGCCUUCCGACGAGCUUCAUCCUUUGAACAGCAGCUGAGAUCGUCAGGUUGGACCUCUGGGUCUGUUCGAAACAGAACACAGGAUCCUGCGAGUGUUGCUUCUUCUGCAACGCAUAAGGACGUUGGUGAUAAUGUUGUGCAGUCGUCGCGCGUCACAGCGCCUCCGGAAGACCAAGCUUUACGCCGUUCUAGCCAGCCCAACGCACUAAGAUGCUAUUCUUGUGGCGAACAGGGGCAUCGCCAGACAGCCUGUCCCCACCAGACGCGUCGUGGUCUUGUCGUCGGAGAUACUACAAUUGAUUUGGCCGCGGCUUAUGACUCAAAAGCAGAGGACGAUGACCUUGAGGACUCUGAGAUUGUUCCGACACACGGUGACACAGGACGACUUUUGGUGUUUCAUCGCAAUUGUGUCACACCUCGACGACAAGACGAACAGUGGUUGCGAACUAACAUUUUUUGAUCGACGUGUACGAUUAAAGGACGUGUCUGCACUUUUAUCGUCGAUUCGGGCAGCUGCCGCAACGUGAUAUCUGCUUUUGCGGCUGACAAAUUGGAGAUUCCCAAGGAAGCCCACCCUGCUCCUUAUACUCUUGGGUGGCUGUACGAGGGAGUUAGCGUCCGUAUCACAGAACGUGCACUCGUGGCAUUUUCUAUUGGGCCACAUUAUCGCGAUCGUACGUACUGCGAUGUUGCUCCUAUGGACGUCUGCCACCUCUUGUUGGGUCGUCCGUGGGAAUUCGACAGGAAGAUUAUCCAUGACGGAGCGCGUAAUACCUACAGCUUCAUAUGGGAAACACAUCAGAUCCUUUUAGUCCCUUCACGUGAAGCUUCGUUACCUGCCCCGCCAUCUCCGAUCGUCUCUGAGCCGAACUCGCGUCGCACACCGGCACCAUCGAUAACAACACUCUUAUGUUCAUACUCUGAUUUUACAGCUGAGUUGCGUAGGGAGGCAUCGCGUAUGCACUUCUGCCUUCGUCCCCUACGCGAGUCCUUUCUUCUCGCUCUACAUCGGCACUUGAUGCUGUUUUAGCAGAGUUUGUGGACGUCUUUCCUGACGAACUCCCUACACAGCUUCCACCACUUCGCGACAUUCAGCACACUAUUGAUCUGGUGCCUGGUGCGACGCUUCCCAAUCGUCCACACUACAGGAUGAGUCCUCACGAACACGAGGAACUUCGUCGUCAAGUGGAAGAUUUGCUUCGCAAAGGCCAUAUUCGUGAGAGUCUUAGCCCCUGUGCGGUACCAGCGUUGUUGAUCCCAAAAAAGGAUGGCACUUGGCGUAUGUGUGUAGAUAGUCGUGCGAUCAAUAAGAUUACGGUGCGUUAUCGAUUUCCUAUUCCACGCUUGGAUGACUUACUCGAUCAGAUUGGAUCAGCAACUGUCUUUUCAAAGAUCGAUUUGAAGAGUGGCUACCAUCAAAUUCGAAUUCGCCCAGGUGACAAAUGGAAGACGGCUUUCAAGACGCGAGAGGGUUUAUUUGAGUGGCUAGUCAUGCCAUUUGGGUUAUCAAAUGCACCCAGUACGUUUAUGCGUAUCAUGAAUCAAGCCUUGCGUCCCUUCAUAGGCAAAUGUGUGGUGGUCUACUUCGAUGAUAUCCUUAUCUUCAGCGCUUCUAUGGACGAUCAUGUACGACAUAUUCGUGAUGUUUUGCUUGUUCUUCGCAAAGAAACAUUUUUCGCGGCAAAGCAGAAGUGCGAAUUUGGUGUUCCCGAAGUGCUUUUUCUGGGAUAUGUGGUGUCUGCAAAAGGUUUGGCGGUAGAUAUGUCUAAGAUUGAAGCCGUCCAAUCCUGGCGCGUACCGUCACGGAGGUUCGCAGCUUCCACGGAUUAGCUUCUUUCUACCGGCGAUUCGUGAGCCACUUUAGCUCUAUAAUGGCUCCGAUCACGAGCUGUAUGCGAGAAGGGAAAUUUGAGUGGACUUCUGAGGCAGCCGCUGCUUUCGAAUUAAUCAAGGAGAAGCUCACUUCAGCCCCCAUUUUGGUUUUGCCAGACUUCUCUGUCACGUUUGAGCUGCAUUGUGAUGCGUCGAAACUUGGCAUUGGGGCCGUAUUGAGUCAACUUGGGCGCCCUGUUGCUUUCUUUAGCGAGAAGUUAGCAGGCGCAAGAGGACGCUACAGCACUUACGAUGUGGAAUUCUAUGCUAUCGUCCAAGCAAUUAAACACUGGAGACAUUACUUGAUUCACCGUGAGUUUGUUUUAUUUACUGACCAUGAUGCACUUCGCCAUCUUGAUAGCCAUGCAAAGGUUUCUGCGCGUCAUGCUGCCUGGAUUUCUUACCUGCAACAGUUCACAUUCUCUAUUCGUCAUCAAUCUGGCAAGACGAAUCGAGUCGCGGAUGCGUUGAGUCGCAGGCAUUCUCUCCUUUCAACAAUUCAUACGACGGUGGUUGGAUUGUCUUCCCUCGCGGAACUAUAUACGACUGACCCCUUUUUCAGUCGCAUAUUUGCAGAAGUAUCGAAUGGUCCGAAUUCUGAUUAUACGCUCCAGGAUGGUUUUCUUUUUAAGGGCCUACGGCUGUGUGUUCCUGAGUGUAGCUUGCGUACACAAAUCAUUCGUGAAUUACACAAUGAAGGACAUGUGGGGAGGGAUCGCACCCUGCAGCUUAUCACGACGUCGUAUUUUUGGCCGUCUCUGCAUCGAGACGUUGAGCGAUUUGUUGAGUGCUGUCGCAUCUGUCAGCAGGCAAAGGGCAAGGCGUCUAAUGCAGGCCUCUAUUUGCCUCUUCGCAUUCCGACUCAACCCUGGACUGAUGUUAGUAUGGACUUUGUUCUGGGGCUUCCUCGUACACAGCGUGGCAGUGACUCAAUCUUUGUCGUUGUGGAUCGUUUCUCGAAGAUGGCGCAUUUUAUACCUUGUAAGAAGACAACAGAUGCAGUGAGUGUGGCCAUUUUGUUCUUUCGGGAAGUUUACCGCCUCCAUGGAUUACCAACUUCCAUCGUAUCGGACAGGGACACGCGGUUUCUUAGCCACUUUUGGAGAUCCUUGUGGCGUUUGCUAGGGACGAGCCUAGACAUGAGUUCGGCGUAUCACCCUCAGACGGAUGGCCAGACGGAGGUGACGAACAGGUCGCUGGGCAAUCUUCUUCGCUGUUUGGUUGGUGAUAACAUCAAGUCAUGGGACUCUAAGUUGUGCCAGGCAGAAUUUGCGCACAACCACGCCGUUAAUCGGAGUGUUGGUUUUUCACCUUUUCAGGUUGUGUACGGCGUCGUUCCUCGCUGCCCGCUGGACUUGUCAACACUUCCUGAUCGCACGCGUCAUCAUGGUGAAGCUAUUGACUUUGUGGACAGCCUGCAGCAGGUUCAUCAGUCCGCGCGUGAAAAUUUGGUUAAGUCUUCUGCUAAGUACAAGCUCGCAGCUGAUGCGAAACGCCGUGAGGUGAUCUACAACCCUGGCGACUUGGUUUGGGUAGUCUUGACGAAGGAUCGUUUUUCGGUGGGCGACUACAACAAGCUCAAGUCGCGUAAAGUUGGACCGGUGGAGGUACUCGAGCGUAUCAACGCAAAUGCUUAUCGAGUUCGUCUUCCAGCACACCUGCGCACUUCCGACGUGUUUAAUGUGAAGCAUCUUUCUCCAUUUUAUGGUGAUAACGACCCUGUCGAUUCGCGGACGAAUCCUUCUUCACCUGGGGGGACCUGAUGCAGCACAUCGUUGAUUAAUGGGCUUUUAUGACAAACACGUCGCGGGCUUUAAACGUGUUUGUUCAACUAUUAUCUUCAUCUUUUAUUUCUAGUUUGUUUUCUUUUAGGAUCAGAUAAACACAAAUCUUUUAGGAUUAGGAUCUUUCGUAAUCUCUUUAGCUUUUUUUUUAAGGUCGUCGAAUAGCCUUGUGAUCGACACCUUUUUUUGACAUUUAAAGCAUUUAUUCAAGAGCUUGUUUAAGCACUAAGAGGAGUACUCUUAAUCCUUUGUCGUAGUCGAGCUUUCGACUGAGACAAAAUCGAGAUCGUUUCAAGCAAUUCUUCGAGUUCUUGUUGUGAUUUCGUUUACGUAGCUUCCGCCUCUCUAUCAAAAUCUCAGAAAGGGUCAAUUUCAAAUCAUCAGAACAAGGAGAUGAAAAGGAGAUUGAGGAUACCUGAGAAUACAGCGGAUAACAGCGACAAAGGAAUCGCAGGAGAUGAAAAUUUUCUGGUCGGAGAAAUUUUUUUCAUCUAAUUUCACUAUCAGAGAA